GAGUUUGAUCUUGGCUCAGAUUGAACGCUGGCGGCAUGCCUUACACAUGCAAGUCGAACGGCAGCGCGGGGCAACCUGGCGGCGAGUGGCGAACGGGUGAGUAAUAUAUCGGAACGUACCCUGGAGUGGGGGAUAACGUAGCGAAAGUUACGCUAAUACCGCAUACGAUCCAUGGAUGAAAGCAGGGGACUGCAAGGCCUUGUGCUCCAGGAGCGGCCGAUAUCUGAUUAGCUAGUUGGCGGGGUAAAAGCCCACCAAGGCAUCGAUCAGUAGCUGGUCUGAGAGGACGACCAGCCACACUGGAACUGAGACACGGUCCAGACUCCUACGGGAGGCAGCAGUGGGGAAUUUUGGACAAUGGGCGCAAGCCUGAUCCAGCAAUGCCGCGUGAGUGAAGAAGGCCUUCGGUUGUAAG
Molecule: ribosomal RNA, 415 nt
Filed under: uncultured bacterium
Lineage: Bacteria
Description: bacterial SSU rRNA
Rfam family: Bacterial small subunit ribosomal RNA
Source: RNAcentral